RNAcentral lists this ribosomal RNA (252 nucleotides) under uncultured bacterium. RNAcentral describes it as "partial 16S ribosomal RNA". It matches the Rfam family "Bacterial small subunit ribosomal RNA", at positions 524 to 776 of the family's 1533-position model. The record is from RNAcentral.
UACGGCGGGUGCAAGCAUUGAUCGGACUUACUGGGCGUAAAGGGCGCGUAGGCGGCCGAAUAAGUCAGGUGUGAAAUUCCGGGGCUCAACCCCGGAGUGCAUUUGAAACUGUUUGGCUAGAGUUCAGUUAGGGUAAACGGAAUUCCACGUGUAGCGGUGAAAUGCGUAGAUAUGUGGAAGAACACCGGUGGUGAAGACGGUUUACUGGGCUGAUACUGACGCUGAGGCGCGAAAGCAUGGGGAGCAAACAGG